RNAcentral lists this ribosomal RNA (376 nucleotides) under uncultured Gammaproteobacteria bacterium. Its description in RNAcentral is "bacterial SSU rRNA". It matches the Rfam family "Bacterial small subunit ribosomal RNA", at positions 521 to 896 of the family's 1533-position model. Lineage: Bacteria; Pseudomonadati; Pseudomonadota; Gammaproteobacteria. The record is from RNAcentral.
UAAUACGGAGGGUGCAAGCGUUAAUCGGAAUUACUGGGCGUAAAGCGCGCGUAGGCGGUUUGUUAAGUGAGAUGUGAAAGCCCAGGGCUUAACCUUGGAACUGCAUCUCAUACUGGCAGGCUAGAGUACGGUAGAGGGGGGUAGAAUUCCAUGUGUAUCGGUGAAAUGCGUAGAGAUGUGGAGGAAUACCAGUGGCGAAGGCGGCCCCCUGGAUCGAUACUGACGCUAAGGUGCGAAAGCGUGGGGAGCAAACAGGAUUAGAUACCCUGGUAGUCCACGCUGUAAACGAUGUCAACUAGCCGUUGGAAGGGUAAUCCUUUUAGUGGCGCAGCUAACGCACUAAGUUGACCGCCUGGGGAGUACGGUCGCAAGGUUA